GACGAAGGUGGCGAGCGUUGUUCGGAAUCACUGGGCAUAAAGCGCACGUAGGCGGUGUCGUAAGUCGGAUGUGAAAUCCCUCGGCCUAACCGAGGAACUGCGUCCGAUACUGCGAUGCUUGAGGAUCAGAGGGGUGCAUGGAAUUUCCGGUGUAGCGGUGAAAUGCGUAGAUAUCGGGAGGAACACCAGUGGCGAAGGCGACUUCCUGGCCUGUUCUUGACGCUGAGGCGCGAAAGCUAGGGGAGCAAACGGA
This 253-nucleotide ribosomal RNA is filed under the name uncultured bacterium. RNAcentral describes it as "partial 16S ribosomal RNA". It matches the Rfam family "Bacterial small subunit ribosomal RNA", at positions 524 to 776 of the family's 1533-position model. The record is from RNAcentral.